GCACCGCUGCAUGAAAGAAGCUAAAGAUUGACCUUGGCCGAGGAAUUUUAAUGGAAAACCAGAAGUGGCAGUGGCUUCCAGAAGAAACCGAGGGCUCCCUUGCUUUCUCAGAGAGAAAGAGCAAAGGCACUGUGGCGCAUCGAAAACCUGCACAACUAGAGCAUCCCUGGUUCACCAUGCUGCUCUUUCAUCAAAGAGGAAGGUCAUCAUCCUCAGAGAAGCUUCAUGCACUGAAGCAUGCUUUCCACCAGAGGAGCAGGUGGGAAACGAGUUCUUCCAAGGGAGCGUCUACCGAUACCUGGCGGGCAAGCUGAAAGUCAUCAGAAGGCCGAAUGAAUAAAUCGUUGGUGGUUCAUCUGCAUGUACAACCAUCAACUGUUGUGUGCACCUUUUUGCAGAUCCAUAUUACUUAGUC
Molecule: long non-coding RNA, 415 nt
Organism: Rhipicephalus sanguineus (brown dog tick)
Lineage: Eukaryota; Metazoa; Arthropoda; Arachnida; Ixodida; Ixodidae
Exons: 3
Source: RefSeq, a predicted model, not a curated record